This 374-nucleotide unclassified non-coding RNA is filed under the name soil metagenome. RNAcentral's name for it is "partial contains internal transcribed spacer 2 and large subunit ribosomal RNA". The stretch from base 1 to 120 matches the Rfam family "5.8S ribosomal RNA", at positions 35 to 154 of the family's 154-position model. The record is from RNAcentral.
GAUGAAGAAUGUAGCGAAAUGCGAUAAUUAAUGUGAAUUGCAGAAUUCCGUGAAUCAUCGAGUCUUUGAACGCACAUUGCGCCUCAUGGCAUUCCGUGAGGCAUGCCCAUCUCAGCGUUAGAAAAUAUUCUCAAAUUUUAGUUUUGUGCUAAAAUUUGGAUCAUGUCAAGGAAGCUAUUACUAUUAUUGUGAUCGCUCUUUGGAAAUUGAUAGGUCUUUGAGUUGCUACUCAUAGAACGUGAUGAAUCUUUCUUCGUUCUAUUGUAAUUCACUCUGGUAGUCCUAAAACUUGUAUGCCUGUGGCAUAUCUUGUAAUUUGACCUGAGAUUGGGUAGGGAUACCCGCUGAACUUAAGCAUAUCAAUAAGCGGAGGA